AUCAAUCUGGUGAAAUAUGGUAAACACGACUUAUUUAAAAUAAGUUGCUUAAAAGCUUAAAGGUUCAAGUCCUUUGAUUGAUA
This 83-nucleotide transfer RNA is filed under the name Groenewaldozyma salmanticensis. Its description in RNAcentral is "tRNA-Leu". It matches the Rfam family "tRNA". From Rfam's summary of the family: Transfer RNA (tRNA) molecules are approximately 80 nucleotides in length. Their secondary structure includes four short double-helical elements and three loops (D, anti-codon, and T loops). The record is from RNAcentral. Lineage: Eukaryota; Fungi; Ascomycota; Dipodascomycetes; Dipodascales; Trichomonascaceae.